RNAcentral lists this ribosomal RNA (484 nucleotides) under uncultured bacterium. Its description in RNAcentral is "partial 16S ribosomal RNA". It matches the Rfam family "Bacterial small subunit ribosomal RNA", at positions 39 to 507 of the family's 1533-position model. The record is from RNAcentral.
GGGGGGGGGGGGGGGGGGGGCGGGGGCGGGCGGGGCGGGCGGGGGGGGGGGGCGGGCGCCGGGGGGCGGCGGCGGGCGGGGGGGUGCGGCCCGGGGAGCGGCCCGGCCGCGGGGGAUAACGUCCGGCAACGGGCGCUAAUCCCGCACCCGCCCGGAGGGCGAACGUGGGGGAUCCUCGGACCCCACGCUAUCAGAUGAGCCUCGGUCGGAUUAGCUAGUUGGUGGGGUAAAGGCCUACCAAGGCGACGAUCCGUAACUGGUCUGAGAGGAUGGCCAGUCACACUGGAACUGAGACACGGUCCAGACGCCUACGGGAGGCAGCAGUGGGGAAUAUUGGACAAUGGGCGAAAGCCUGAUCCAGCCAUGCCGCGUGUGUGAAGAAGGUCUUCGGAUUGUAAAGCACUUUAAGUUGGGAGGAAGGGCAGUAAGUUAAUACCUUGCUGUUUUGACGUUACCAACAGAAUAAGCACCGGCUAACUUCGUG